Molecule: transfer RNA, 72 nt
Filed under: Sphaerodactylus townsendi
Lineage: Eukaryota; Metazoa; Chordata; Lepidosauria; Squamata; Sphaerodactylidae
Description: tRNA-Ala
Rfam family: tRNA
About the family: Transfer RNA (tRNA) molecules are approximately 80 nucleotides in length.
Source: RNAcentral
GGAGUGGUGGCUCAGUGACAGCGCAUCUAUUUGGCAAGCAGAAGUUCCCAGGUUCAAUUCCUAGUAUUUCCA